CAGACCCUGAUGAUCACAAUGAUACAUUUUGUUCGUAGUUUCCUACUGAAGAAAGCUGGACACUGGUGAGAGUGACGUGUGAUGGGACCGGCCUGCUUUCCUCUAAACCCUAAAUAAACGAUGAUGAGAUCAAAGGGAAGAGAAAGGGAAAAGAGAAACUGCCAGAUCGCCCAGCGAGGCCGGCCUUCGACCAGAUCUUCUGUGAGGCAUUGUUCAGUUUGUUUGUCCUUCAAUGCAAAUGUUUCUUUCAGAAUUUUCUCAGCGUUCUGAUGUUUCCUCUUGACAGAAAGUGCAGGACUGAAGCUCGUUUGGAGGUUAAUUGGCCAACAACAGCACAAAAGAUGAUUAAUUUGGCGCACAUUCAUGAUAAAUACAGGCUGAAGAAGUUUUGGGAAGAGAAGAUCGAAAGCCACAUUCAGAGGUUGGGAAAUGAAGACUCGAGAAUGAAGAACAGCG
RNAcentral lists this long non-coding RNA (456 nucleotides) under Sinocyclocheilus anshuiensis. RNAcentral describes it as "lncRNA (ENSSANG00000013203.1)". Lineage: Eukaryota; Metazoa; Chordata; Actinopteri; Cypriniformes; Cyprinidae. The record is from RNAcentral.